UGCAAGUCGAGCGCUACCUUCGGGUGGAGCGGCGGACGGGUUAGUAACGCGUGGGAACGUACCCAGAUCUAAGGAAUAGCCACUGGAAACGGUGAGUAAUACCUUAUACGCCCUUCGGGGGAAAGAUUUAUCGGAUUUGGAUCGGCCCGCGUUAGAUUAGAUAGUUGGUGGGGUAAUGGCCUACCAAGUCUACGAUCUAUAGCUGGUUUUAGAGGAUGAUCAGCAACACUGGGACUGAGACACGGCCCAGACUCCUACGGGAGGCAGCAGUGGGGAAUCUUGGACAAUGGGCGCAAGCCUGAUCCAGCCAUGCCGCGUGAGUGAUGAAGGCCUUAGGGUCGUAAAGCUCUUUCGCCAGAGAUGAUAAUGACAGUAUCUGGUAAAGAAACCCCGGCUAACUCCGUGCCAGCAGCCGCGGUAAUACGGAGGGGGUUAGCGUUGUUCGGAAUUACUGGGCGUAAAGCGUACGUAGGCGGAUUAGUCAGUCAGAGGUGAAAUCCCAGGGCUCAACCCUGGAACUGCCUUUGAUACUGCUAGUCUUGAGUUCGAGAGAGGUGAGUGGAAUUCCAAGUGUAGAGGUGAAAUUCGUAGAUAUUUGGAGGAACACCAGUGGCGAAGGCGGCUCACUGGCUCGAUACUGACGCUGAGGUACGAAAGUGUGGGGGAGCAAACACGAUUAUAUACCCUGGUAGUCCACACCGUA
RNAcentral lists this ribosomal RNA (703 nucleotides) under Lentibacter sp. Its description in RNAcentral is "bacterial SSU rRNA". It matches the Rfam family "Bacterial small subunit ribosomal RNA", at positions 56 to 804 of the family's 1533-position model. Lineage: Bacteria; Pseudomonadati; Pseudomonadota; Alphaproteobacteria; Rhodobacterales; Roseobacteraceae. The record is from RNAcentral.